CACCCCCAACCCAAUAACCCUCAAACUUGGCCAUCCAAAUGCUUCGAUCCUGUUCCUGACUCUCUCACUCUCAACUCUUACCGUCACUCUCAUCAAUGCCAACCCAGGAAGAGCUCAGAUCCCCGCCGUCACCGGCACCGCCCUCGCUGCGCCGUUAGCCUCCCCUCCGCCUCGUCUCCUCGUCGCCUCUGCCCUAGCAUCCAACAGCGUCAGCGUCAUUAGCCUCUUACCGUCUCCUCGUCGUUUACGCUAUUAGCCUCUUACCGUCUCCUCCUCGGCCAUCUGCUCGCCGGAGGGCAGCAACAUCUUCCCGACAGUGCGACUCCUUCUGCAGCUCUAGGGCGGCAUGGGAGGGUUCGGAUCGCUGCUUCGAGGGCGGCGAUGUAGGCCGAAAAAAAAAAGACGAACAAUUUUGACGCUUGCAGGGACAUGAGUGGGAGAAGGCUGAGGCACGUGAAUGCAGAGAGAAGCUGGAGGAGUGGAAGGCAGCGGAGGAGGAGCGGUGGCUGGAGAAGGUUGUGGAGGAGUUUCUGAAGAAGCAGAUGAAGAAAGGUAAGAAGGUUGCUGGCGAUGGAGAAGCUCACAAGUAUGUUGCCAAGUAUAGGGAAGAGUCUGAGCGCUGUGUCGCCGAGGUUGCAGAGUCUGUGAAGGAGGCUUUGAAGUCUCUCAAUGGUAAGAGAAAGGGUUCUGAAGCUGCACUGGAGAAAGCUGAUUCCAAGAAGUUGAAGAUAUGGUUGGAGCAAUGAGCAUCUCAGUAUUGCGAAGUGUGUGGCAAAUGUUCUGGCUAUGCGAGAACUGGGAUGGCGAAGUUAGUGUCUGCAAUCAACUUGCUAAUAGCCUUAUGCAAUUGGAAGACAGGUUUGAUGAUUUCAUUCAAAAGUUGAAAGAAGCUAGUUGCAACUUGCUCUUAGUGUGAUUGAAGCACCCACUGGCAAUGAGGAAGAUAAUGACCUUGAAUUUGAAAACUUGUCCUGGAAUGGAUCAGAUAUGGGUAAGUUUACAUUCCCAGCUACUGAACUGGUUACAUUUUGCUCAAUGCAGUUGGUUCACAUGAUUUAUUGUUACAUCAUCUAUAGUUUUAAGAAUCAUUCUCUCUUUUAUGAACUCAUUUUCCAAAGUAUUCUAAACUUUUCAGCUUCUAUGGGUUAAAGAAAACUUGCAAGAGUCUUGGUCUUUGGUUAAGAAUCACCUUCUUCCUCCUACUCCAUAUUAAUCAACCACACGAGAAUACUCCUUUUUCAGCAAUAUAAUCAUGAUUCAUGAGUGCAUAAAAAAUGAUCAUUUCUGUAAUUGUAGUAAGUUGUAGAUAAGCUCGAAUAACCUGCAAUAUUAAAGUAAUAAUUAAAGUGUGUUCAGCACUGUUGAAACAAUGUAAAAUCAUCUAGCUAGCCCAUAUAUCCGUACGGAUCAUUAGAUCUUAUCUUAUAUUUAGGUUGUUCUUAUCUUAAUUCCGCCUAAUUGAAAGGAAAAAAACAGUUGAGGAGAGAAAAAUUUAAAGUAUAAUCAUGUAUAAUUGAGUGGUUAGGUUCUGUUAUUGUCAAAAGAUUCUUUCCAUUUAUAUGUUAAAUUUUUUAAGACCAAUGAAAAUGUUGAGGCUUGACCUACACACAUGUUUUUGGUCUCUAAAUGCAAGUUCUAGGUUCUAUCUACUCCAGUUUUCAGACAUUGACAUGUCUGUCUACUUAUUGUAUUGGAUUAACAUACAUGUGAUAUCUGAAGUUUGACCCAGGCCAACUAUAUAUAUAAUAUAGUAGAAUAAGAAAGAAGAUCUAUUUGCCAGGCUGGAUUGUCUCCAUAGAAGUGGAAUUUCGUUAGAAUCACUCACUGAACCACUAUCUCUAAUUCUGUGACCAAUGCAAGUUUAACUGAUUGCUUGCUUGCUCCUCUUGACAUAUAUCAUUAAUUUUGAUAUCAGUCCUUUAAUUUAUCUUAUGCAUGGAUCUAAACUUUGUUCUCACUUUUAUCAUCUCUACAUGUAUAUAUUCAUUUCCUGUGAUGCAUGCAGAAGCAGCACUAUACUCACCAUACUCUCUUCUAAGGGUACCUAGCUUCAUGGGGUUAUUUUUUUAUCGUUUUUUCUUCAACCUGCGAUUAUCCCUGGUAGGAGCAAUAUGGUCAUGUUAUUGUAUAAAUUGGUAGGGAAAAAAAGGAAGCAUAUGAAUGGAUUUAUUACUAUAGUUGAACAUAUUUGGAUUUUUUUCUGUACCCAAUUCUUAUUCUAAUGCCGGUACCUUUAUCCAAUAUUUGUUUGGUGGAUAUAUAGACUUUCAUAAGAAUAAUUGAGUUGGUGAGAUAGGUUGAUUUUUAGCUAUAAUAGCUGAAUGGCAUCAAUAUCUUUAAACUUCAUAGAAUACUCUUGUAAUAAUCAAUUUUUGUGUAUUAUUAAAUAUUAAUUAGAAGCCAUGUGAUCUUGCACAGUUGCUAUAUCUAGACUAAUUACAAAAGCAUGGUGAGUUUCAUGGGUCAGAAAUGUAAAUCCUAAUGCCUAGUUGCCUACACAUUAGUUGAAUAGUAAUCAACUAAUCACUUAGUAAAGUGCUAUUUAAACUUUAAAGCUGACAGAGUUAAAGGGUUACCUUUAUGUGACAUGAUAUCUAACUUUCAUCACCUUGUUUUGGCAGAAUUCGUUUUUACUGUUUUAUUUUUGGCAGAAUUUGUGUGUAUAUUGAUUGUAUAGAGUUAGUGAAGUUUGUGUUUUUGCACAAUUUAGUGUAGUUAGUGUACUUAUUGCUUGUAAAUUGCAGUGGCAUUAUAACUUGUAGGCAUUAAUUAAAAUUGAAGGGAUGGGGGGCCAUAAAGGUUGAAGUUAAAAGGAAAAUAGAACUGGGUCCUAAUGCAUUUCCCCACCAGUUGUGCUAGACCUUAACUUGAGUUCUCAGCUUUUUUUAUUGAAAUCUUCACACAACAAACAAGCAUUCAAUAAUUGAGGAACCUGUUUCUAGCAUGGGAGUUUGUCUGAGUGCCCAAGUUAAAGUUGAGAGCCCCUACAGCACUGGUAAAAAAUUCACAAAUGUUUCCGAAACAACUAUGUAUGAUUUAAAGGAAGGAAGUUUAAGAGGGCUAGAGGAAGGAGGAACAGCAAAGGACUUAGGAUUUAAGUUAUAUUGUUUCUGUAUUUUUUUUCAGUUUUUAGUUUUGGAAUUUGAACUCGAGAUUUAUUUUGUAUUUGAGUAUUAAUUUUUUAAUAUAUAAAACAAUUAUAGCAAAAAUUUUGUAUGUCACUAAUUAUUAUUUGAUUUGUCUUGUAAUAAAAAUUGCAUACUA
Arachis ipaensis is the source of this 3264-nucleotide non-coding RNA. The record is from RefSeq and is a predicted model, not a curated record. NCBI's taxonomy places the organism in Eukaryota, Viridiplantae, Streptophyta, Magnoliopsida, Fabales, Fabaceae.